Molecule: long non-coding RNA, 1654 nt
Organism: Tupaia belangeri chinensis (Chinese tree shrew)
Lineage: Eukaryota; Metazoa; Chordata; Mammalia; Scandentia; Tupaiidae
Exons: 3
Source: RefSeq, a predicted model, not a curated record
AGUAACCCCAAGCUUAGCUGCAGUGCACAUGCUGCUGAGGGGCUGCUGCUCAGAGGCUGAGGACCUCGGAAAGGCACAGGUUCCAUUCCCAGCCCCAUCUACAGGUGGGGGCAGAGGCCUGGACCUGUGGUCCUGGCCAGCUAAGAGGCUAGGGCAAAGGGUAUCAACACGGCAAGACUCUGCCAAAGACCUCUCCUCUCCCCCCUCUCUCUCCCAAAUAAGUAGGUUUAUUGUAAAAUGUCACACCGUUAUCUUCUGGCUUUGCAGUUUACAGAAGCUGUAAACCUUUUGAUCUGGUUGUUCUUCAGAUGUUAUCAUCUCUGACUUUCAGAAGCUCUUUGCUGUGAUCCUGACAGCACGGAGAGGUGGAGACAAUCGGAUUACGGUGUGACCACGCCCCAUAGGGGAGCAGUCUCUCUCUUUUCCUCUGCCUUAUCUUGGAAGAGGCCACUCACCACUUCUGCCUUGAUCUACUCGUUACAAGCAAACCAUGAAGUCCAGCCAAAAGUAACAGGAGCAGAUUCCACGAGGAGUCAAGGAUCACAGGAAGCAGUUUAGAGGCUACCCACCACCAUUACUGACGGAUCGCCUUGGGCUUUCUGGAGCUCAUUUUAAGGUAGUUCAGGGCAGAUGGAGAAGAGCAGGUACUCCAGGGCUAUUUGGUUCCACUUUAAGGCACGACCCUUUAGCAGUCCCUACGGAAUGUUUCAACUACUAAACAGGGAUCUCCACAGUGCCCGGUAGGAACUCGAAUGGUUUCUGCCCUGUUGAACUAUGGGAAGCGCUGGUCUGACAGCUCCCAUCUAACUGCUCCUGGGACAGUUCUUGCCUAGCCCGUGGAAUUUCACCUACGCAUGCACGGACUGGCACUCGGGCAAAGACUCGAAGGGAUGCAGGCCCCUCACCUACGUGGAAACAGUCCACUCAGCCACACUUUGCAACAGUGGCUGAACAAACAGCACGAUGAGAGAGGGCCUUGGGCCCACAGAGACACAGCCAUCCACCUGCUUCUGCUCUGCAUUCCACAACGGCAAAGAAGGGGCACUUCCAAAACUUGUUUCUAAUGAACUGACAACACUCUUAAGCUGGAGUAUUACAAAAUGCCCCCCCCCAAGGAAUCCUACUUCUCUGAAUCCAUGCUUUGUGCAGACCCCUCCCACUCGAAUCCUGAGCUGGUCUUCUGACUUGCAUGGACCUAUGAGUGGGCUCAAAGUGACAUGGUCUCAGUUUCAAGCCUAGAUCUUAAGAGGCUUUGCUAACUUCCACUUUCCCUAGCCUGGAGCUGAAGAUAUCACGCCAUGGAGGAGCCUGAGAAGAAAGAUCACAUGCAGAGAGUGCCCGGUAUGCAACUGCAGGAGUGAGUGCAGGCAAUGCUGGCCAAGAACUGCCUCUCGCAAAGCAACGACCUGCUAUUUUAAACCACUACGUUUUGAAGUGAUCUGCUAUGCAACAGAGGCCAAGACAUGACAAGUAUUUGCUCUACUUACAGAGGUGUCUUAGUGUAGCACAGCAGUUAACAGCAUAGUCUCUCAAACCUGAGGGCCUUGGUUCAAAUCCCAGCUCUACCAUGUUUUAAGUGUAUAAACCUCAAAAAGUUACUUAACUUUUUUGAGCCUGUUUCCACAUGAAAAAUAAGCAUAAAAACAAUACCUAA